GGGUUGUGAGGUUAAGCGACUAAGCGUACACGGUGGAUGCCCUGGCAGUCAGAGGCGAUGAAGGACGUGCUAAUCUGCGAUAAGCGUCGGUAAGGUGAUAUGAACCGUUAUAACCGGCGAUUUCCGAAUGGGGAAACCCAGUGUGUUUCGACAUACUAUCAUUAACUGAAUCCAUAGGUUAAUGAGGCGAACCGGGGGAACUGAAACAUCUAAGUACCCCGAGGAAAAGAAAUCAACCGAGAUUCCCCCAGUAGCGGCGAGCGAACGGGGAGGAGCCCAGAGCCUGAAUCAGUGUGUGUGUUAGUGGAAGCGUCUGGAAAGGCGCGCGAUACAGGGUGACAGCCCCGUACACAAAAAUGCACAUACUGUGAGCUCGAUGAGUAGGGCGGGACACGUGGUAUCCUGUCUGAAUAUGGGGGGACCAUCCUCCAAGGCUAAAUACUCCUGACUGACCGAUAGUGAACCAGUACCGUGAGGGAAAGGCGAAAAGAACCCCGGCGAGGGGAGUGAAAAAGAACCUGAAACCGUGUACGUACAAGCAGUGGGAGCACGCUUCGGCGUGUGACUGCGUACCUUUUGUAUAAUGGGUCAGCGACUUAUAUUCUGUAGCAAGGUUAACCGAAUAGGGGAGCCGAAGGGAAACCGAGUCUUAACUGGGCGUUAAGUUGCAGGGUAUAGACCCGAAACCCGGUGAUCUAGCCAUGGGCAGGUUGAAGGUUGGGUAACACUAACUGGAGGAC
RNAcentral lists this ribosomal RNA (740 nucleotides) under Phocaeicola vulgatus. RNAcentral describes it as "Bacteroides vulgatus partial 23S ribosomal RNA". It matches the Rfam family "Bacterial large subunit ribosomal RNA", at positions 1 to 774 of the family's 2925-position model. Lineage: Bacteria; Pseudomonadati; Bacteroidota; Bacteroidia; Bacteroidales; Bacteroidaceae. The record is from RNAcentral.